AGGUGCCACGCGGACAUGCCGGUUGCUCUGCGCCGACCGCAUCCAGCUGACCACUGCAUGCGAGGUCUUGUUAGCU
Molecule: small RNA, 76 nt
Filed under: Xanthomonas arboricola
Lineage: Bacteria; Pseudomonadati; Pseudomonadota; Gammaproteobacteria; Lysobacterales; Lysobacteraceae
Description: sRNA sX9
Rfam family: Xanthomonas sRNA sX9
Source: RNAcentral